RNAcentral lists this long non-coding RNA (3689 nucleotides) under Sus scrofa (pig). RNAcentral describes it as "lncRNA (ENSSSCG00000057686.1)". The record is from RNAcentral. Lineage: Eukaryota; Metazoa; Chordata; Mammalia; Artiodactyla; Suidae.
GUGUAAUUUUAUAUAGUAGAAUGAAAUAGAACUGUUGAGGCUGAUGUGGAAAUUAUGGAUUAUGUGAUUCAGAAAGUUUCAGAAUCAUUCACAUUAUUUUAUCUAUAUUAAGAAGACUGGCAUGGUAUCAAAUGGUAAUCCAAGGUACCAUGAGUCCAUACUGAUAUAAAUAAAUAAAUAAGGAAAUAUUUUUCCCUUCUGAAGAUUUCCAAAUAAUGUAUGUAGGUAUCACCUCCUCUGGAGAUGGAGCUUAAUUCUCUUCGCCCUGAGUGCAGGCGGGACUUAGUGACCUGCUUCCAGAGAAUGGAAUAUGGAAAGGGAAAAAGGCUAAUGUUACAGAGGAGGAAACUGAUAGACAUGAUCUUAGCCAAGUGGGCAGCAUUCGUAUCACUAGCGAUAAGCCGUGUUGAUACCCGCUGAUAGAUGUGGUGAGAAGGGCACUUCACUUCUGGGGUGUUCUCCCAAACCUGAUCACACCAGUGUAAGCAUGAGAAAAACACCAGGCAAAUCCAAAUUGAGAGACAUUUUACACAAUAUCUGACCAACACUCCUCAAAACCGCCCAGGUAAUGACAGAAAGAAAGAUCGAGAAAAUAAAGACUAAGAGAUGACCACUUAAUGCAAUGCAGACUCUGAUGGACUCUUGGAACAGUAAAAAUGACGUUAGUGAAAAAAAUGAGUGCAGUCUCAGACAGGUCAGUAGUUCAAUUAAUAGUAAUGAAUCAAUGUUAAUUUUUUAGUUUUGAUAAAUGUAUCAUGACUACAUAAAAUGUUAAUGAUAAGUAUACCUAGAUGAAAGGUAUAUGGGAAUUCUCUGUAACUUUUCUGUACAUCUAAUUUUUUUUUUUUAAGUUUAUCUUUAAAAGGCAAGGGGAAGUUGGAUAACACACACAUGCACAGAAAUUUCUGGAAGCCUAACCAAGAAAAUGUUAAUACAGUUUACUUCUGAGCAGUCAGGAUCAGAAUGGGCAAGGCAUGGGAAAUGAAGAGAAAGAUAGAGACAGAAAGAGACUCAGAAAGAGGAAAAAAGUGGGAAUUUAAUAUUUUCACUUUCACUGUUCUUCCCUAUUUGAUAUUUUCCCCUCAUGUUUGACUUUUAUAUGGCCACCAUGGUUAUCACACCACUCUCAUCCCUCAACAUACUUUCAUCUCAUCUUUCCAAAACAGAAGGGGAGACAUUUCAUUUAGCCAUUGUGCUUGGGAACAACUCUGGGCAUAUAGCUCCAUGCAACGGUAUGAGCUUAAUUCAUUAUUUAUGCCUGCCAUGUGAUAAAGCUCAUAUCCUUCAUGUCCCAUUUUAAGGUUUUAGUGUCUCCUCAGAAGCUGACUUUUACAUUUAGAUUGCCAUGCUCAAUUCACUGUAGUAAUAACAGAUAAGUUGUUAAUCCACAUUGGCGUCAUCUUGGAGUCAGGGAUUGUUUCAACAGAAGAGAAUUUAGUGGAAAUCACAUCCAAUUAAUUGUGUGAGCAAAAGAAAAAGUGAUUGUCAAUUAGAGGAUGUUAAACUUCCAGCUACUUGGAAAACUGUAAAACAGAUCAUGAAAAUGAAUAUAAUUGACAUAAUUUAGUUCAUAAUCAGAGACCAGCUUUCCUACUCCUCUUAAGAUGCAACUAAGAUUGUAAUGUUCAAGUAAAGAGUUUGUGCUGGGGUCAAGAAUUUUUGAGAAUGUGUGUAACACAAGGGGUGCACACACCUUGCCUGAUGAUCAGGCUUGGGGAGAAGAAGAGCAACAUGUUUGCCCAAAGAGGAGUUAGGAGAAAGGGAAUAAGACUAGUGAUGUCUUACUUCUACAUGGAAUAAUUAAUUAUAUGUUGUUGGAGGUAGGUCAAAUGGAGAAAAUUAUCUUAGCAUCUGGAUAAAAUCAAUGAAUCAUGUCUUCUGAACAAUAAAGUUCAAAAAAUUGUCAGGGACUGUUUUCUCAAACACAGGCUUUUAUGGAGAUCUGUCAAGUUUUCCUCAUAAUUCUAAUGUUUAUUUUGCUUUAUUUUUGUUUUGUGGUUUGGAUAGAUUCUCUUUUGUUUCUUACCCUAAUAUUUCAACGACAUCUCCAGUAACUGGGUCUGUCUCUCUUUUCCCAUUUUGAUGAUCUCCGUUUAGUCUGUAAACAAUUAAUAUGAAGCUAUUAAUAUGGUUGGAUUUUGGUCUACCAUUUUGUUAUUUUUUGUUUUAUUGCUGUUUCUCUGUUCAUUUUCUCCUUUAGCAGUACUUGAAUUGUCUUAAAACAUUUCUAUAUUGUAUUUUCGGAUUGUGCUCCUUCACAUUGUUUCUAUCAGUUAUUUGAGAGAUUAUAACAUCCAUACAGGCAUACUUGAAGAUAUUGCAGGUUUGUUUCCAGACCACUGCCAUAAAGAAAAUAACACAAUAAAGCAAGUCACAUGAAUUUUUUGUCUCCCAGUACAUGUUAAAGUUAUGUUUGUAGUAUAUUGUAGUGUAGUAUAAGCUAUGCAGUAGCAUUAUGUCUAAGAAAACAAUGUACAUACCUUAAUUAAACAUAUCUUAAUGCUAACCAUUAAGCUGAGCUUUCAUCAAGUCAUAAUAUUUUUGAAAUAGUAACAUCAAGACCACUGAUCACAGGUCAUGGUAACAAAUGUAAUAAUAAUGAAAAAGUUUGAAAUUUUGGGAAAAUUAACAAAAUGUGACAUAGAGACAUGAAGUGAGCAAAUAUUGUUGGAGAAUGGCACCGAUAGACUUGCUCUGUGCAGUGUUGUCACAAAGCUUCAAUGUGUGAAAAAUGCAGUAUCUGUGCAGCACAAAAAAACAAGGUAUGGCUGUAUGUGACUCUUCAUAGUCUAUUACUUAGAAUUAAUAUUCUGACACUUCAUGUAAAAUGUAGAAACCUUACAACUGCGUGACUUAUUUUCUGCCUCCCUAUCCUUUGUGCUAUUGUUAUUACAUGUAUUAUCAACAUACAUUAUGAGACAUUAGACAAUAUAUAUGUUUUUUGCAAAUACUCAUGUAUUUCAAAUAAAGGGAAAAUGUCUUUUAUAUUUACUCAUUUAACCAGAUGUAAGCCAUUUUUGAUGUUUUAUAUUCCUUUUUGUAAAGUUUAGCUUUUCUUGUAGUGCGGAUCAGUUGACGAUAAAUUCUCUUGAAUUUAUUUUAUAUGAAAAUGUCUGUCUUUAUUCUUAAAAAAAUAUUUUCACUGGAUACUCAAUUUAGAAUUAAUGUUUUGUUUGUUUGUUACACUCUCUACUGUCUUCUAUAAUAUCCAAUGAAAAGUCUUUGAAUUGACAUCAUAGUUCUGUGUGGAAUAUGCUUUUAUCUGACUGUUUUCAAGAUUUUCUUUUUCCUUGGUUUGGUUUUUAGCAAUGUGACUAUAACAAAACUGGGCAUAGUUUUCCUAUUUGAAGUUCACUGAGCUUCUUGGAUCAGUAAUGUUAAGUCUUAUACCAUAUAUGGAAUAUUUUCAACAAUGAUAACUUUAAUAUUUUUUAAUGCUUAUUUUGUCUCCUCCUCAUGAGACUCCAGUUAUACUUAUACUGGACCUUUUAUUAGUCUUCUUUAGGUCCGUGGGUUCAUGAGCAUCUGUUUCGUUUUCCCCACUCUUUUUCUUAUCUGUCUUUUAGAUUGGAUCAUUUCUACGUAUCUGUCUUCAACUUUACUGACUAUUUCUUCUGUAUUUUCCAUCCUAAUAUUAAGCACAUUCUAUGAAUUUUUAAAUUUUAUUUUAUUUUAUUUUUGUAUUAUGC